Molecule: non-coding RNA, 1285 nt
Organism: Podarcis lilfordi (Lilford's wall lizard)
Lineage: Eukaryota; Metazoa; Chordata; Lepidosauria; Squamata; Lacertidae
Source: the annotation of a GenBank genome assembly
GAAAUGGGCAGCUCACUGGCACUCAGCCCUGGUGGUCUCCUGCCCCGUGGCGGCAAGCUGGCAAGCGGAAGGAGGCAAUGGCCCGGUGCUGGGAUGCUGUGGAGCAAGGAGAAGGCAAGUACAAAGUUUACUUGCUGGUGGGAUCGCUACUUGAAGGCAACUGAUAUUCAGCUCUGAAGCUGGUUGAUGUCUGGCAAUUGACAGCAGCUGGUGGAUGGUUGUCAGAAGAGUUUGCAUUGAGACUAGUGGAUGCCACAAGGUUACGCUGGCUGAGAUGGAUGCAAACUGGUUUGGAAGCCUUGUUUGUGAACAGGCAGCCAAACAGAGGAGGAGUCUGGGGGGAUGAUUAGGAUGGGGACCAUCCUACUCACCUGUUUGCCUUUGCCUUACAGGGAUGUCUGGAGCCAGUGAAGUUUUCCCCAAGUUCAGCCUUCAAAGUCAUGAAGAGAACCGCAGGACUUCCCUAUUUACAUCGGAGAAAUGAACGUGAAAUCCUGGCAGUGAACAAUGGACAAGGCCAGACGUGAGAGAAGGAGCUUUGAAGGGAGACUGCAGGCGGACAUCUGCUGCAUUGCAAGUGAUGGGGCAGUGGGGAGAGAGAAGAAAAUGAGGGCCACAUUAGGCGCACCAUUGGAAGUGCUAUGAAGACGCUUUGAACAGGAAUGGCUUCCCCUCAGGGAUUCUGGGAACUGUAGGUGGUUAAGGGGACGAAGAGUUGCUGGGGGGGUUAGUGUUAGGGUAGAGGUAGAGUUAGGGGGUAGGGGGUAGGGGUAGGGGUAGGGGUAGGGGAAGGGUUCCCUCCUUGUGAGGGAACUCUGGGAAUUGUAGCUCUAGUUAAGGGUUAGAGUUAGGGUUAGCGUCAGGGGUAGGGUUAGGCUUCCCUUCUUGCCAGGGAGCUCUGGGAAUUGUAGUUCUAGUUAAGCGUUAAGGGUUAGCAUUAGAGUUAGGGUUAGCGUUAGCAUAAGGAAAAGGGUUAGGGUUAGGAGUAGGGUUCCCUUCUUGGCAGGGAACUCUGGGAGGGGAGCAGGGCUGCCUCCUAACAGCUCUCUGUACCCUUUUCAAACUAUAGCUCCCAGAUUCUUUGGGGAAGAAGCCAUGAGUGUUUAAAGCGGCUUCAUAGCGCUUUAAAUGGUGUGGAUGUGGCCCUGGCCUCCCUCACCCCACUGCCUCUUAUUAUUGAGGAAUUGAAAGGAUUUCCCCACUCAAAUCUCUCGGAAACAGGAAACAGGAAGAAGAAAAACUUUGCAUCUGAUGCUAUUUUUAAAUGUCUUAACUUGAAAUGCCA